UCCUUGGUGCCUUAGUCGGUAAAGAAUCUGCCUGCAAUGCAGGAGACCCGGAUUCAAUUCCUGGGUCAGGAA
Molecule: transfer RNA, 72 nt
Organism: Ovis aries (sheep)
Lineage: Eukaryota; Metazoa; Chordata; Mammalia; Artiodactyla; Bovidae
Rfam family: tRNA
About the family: Transfer RNA (tRNA) molecules are approximately 80 nucleotides in length. Their secondary structure includes four short double-helical elements and three loops (D, anti-codon, and T loops).
Source: Rfam